AUGGUGUUUCCUUCUCUUCUCUAGCGGAGAACUCAAUAUUAUGAAAUCAUUGAAAAGAUCGACGAAGCCCUUGGCCCAAGUGGGUUGGACAGAAGGCUGGUGGAGACGGCACCACCAACAAUCGAGGAUUUCCAGCUCCAGUCCUAUCUCGGCGAGGGAACUUUCGGAAAGGUCUACAAGGCGCAACAUAGAAAGUCCGGGAAGGUUGUUGCUAUCAAGGCCAUGGAAAUGCACAAUAUCAACAAGAUCCGUGCAUUUAAAAGG
Molecule: long non-coding RNA, 264 nt
Organism: Xenopus tropicalis (tropical clawed frog)
Lineage: Eukaryota; Metazoa; Chordata; Amphibia; Anura; Pipidae
Exons: 3
Source: RefSeq, a predicted model, not a curated record